GGCAACCUCCAACUCAGGAUGGUCUUUGGGGGCAAUCAGGGUUGGAGAGAAUCAAAGAACAUCUGGAAAAGAGCAUAUUUCAAGCUCCUUCACACCCUGCUUGUUUCAUAUUUCAACAGAUCAAUGCACUAAAGCACUUCUGCGGCCCUGAGAAAAGCAGCCUCAACUAAUUCUUUGGGAUUAGGAUAUUUCAGCAAGGCGAAGAGGGGAAACCAGAGGCGACCCGCACCCCUGAUGGACACCAAACGUUACACCUGCAACAACUCUGAUGGGUAAUGUGUAGCAAGAUGUGCCAUCAGGUGGUCCUGAGGCUCCUGGGAAAGUAUCCCAAGAGGAUUCACCGUUCAUGGCAUCAGCUUCACUUAAGGGCUUAUGGAUUUAGCACAUUGCAUGGGACCUCAUUCUACCUGCUACCUCCUGCUCUGUGUGAAGGGUGCCCCAUCCUCUUGUCUGGGUGGUACUGCUCUCUGGUGCUGCUUUCUUCUCCUUGUGACUUUGUUAUCCUUCAGAAGGCAGAAACACCAUGGUUUGGGUGAAGGUAAGACAGUAACUAAUCCUUGAGUACCUGUUACUGUGCCACAGCAGCCCCCUGGACCAAGAACCUGGGAUCAAGGCCAUGCACAAUAACUGCAAAUCCUUCUACCUCAUUACAGUACAGCAGGUGGCGAUGUGUGUGCCAGACUUGU
Molecule: non-coding RNA, 686 nt
Organism: Ictidomys tridecemlineatus (thirteen-lined ground squirrel)
Lineage: Eukaryota; Metazoa; Chordata; Mammalia; Rodentia; Sciuridae
Source: RefSeq, a predicted model, not a curated record